AGUGAACGCUGGCGGUAGGCCUAACACAUGCAAGUCGAACGGCAGCACAGUAAGAGCUUGCUCUUACGGGUGGCGAGUGGCGGACGGGUGAGGAAUACAUCGGAAUCUACUUUUUCGUGGGGGCUAACGUAGGGAAACUUACGCUAAUACCGCCUACGACCUACGGGUGAAAGCAGGGGAUCUUCGGCCCUUGCGCGAUUGAAUGAGCCGAUGUCGGAUUAGCUAGUUGGCGGGGUAAAGGCCCACCAAGGCGACGAUCCGUAGCUGGUCUGAGAGGAUGAUCAGCCACACUGGAACUGAGACACGGUCCAGACUCCUACGGGAGGCAGCAGUGGGGAAUAUUGGACAAUGGGCGCAAGCCUGAUCCAGCCAUGCCGCGUGGGUGAAGAAGGCCUUCGGGUUGUAAAGCCCUUUUGUUGGGAAAGAAAAGCAGCAGGUUAAUACCCCGCUGUUCUGACGGUACCCAAAGAAUAAGCACCGGCUAACUUCGUG
RNAcentral lists this ribosomal RNA (492 nucleotides) under uncultured bacterium. Its description in RNAcentral is "partial 16S ribosomal RNA". It matches the Rfam family "Bacterial small subunit ribosomal RNA", at positions 29 to 507 of the family's 1533-position model. The record is from RNAcentral.